AUUUUCUUAGCUGAUAUUAAAGCACUUUACUGAAGAUAAAGAAGACUAAUACAUC
Molecule: transfer RNA, 55 nt
Filed under: Oxyopes licenti
Lineage: Eukaryota; Metazoa; Arthropoda; Arachnida; Araneae; Oxyopidae
Description: tRNA-Phe
Source: RNAcentral